GAUGAACGCUAGCUACAGGCUUAACACAUGCAAGUCGCGGGGCAGCAUGGGGGUUGCUUGCAAUCCCCGAUGGCGACCGGCGCACGGGUGAGUAACGCGUAUCCAACCUGCCCUUCACCACGGGAUAACCCGGCGAAAGUCGGACUAAUACCGUAUGUUGUCCAUUGACGGCAUCCGAUUUGGACGAAAGGUUUGGCGGUGAAGGAUGGGGAUGCGUCCGAUUAGCUGGACGGCGGGGUGACGGCCCACCGUGGCGACGAUCGGUAGGGGUUCUGAGAGGAAGGUCCCCCGCACUGGAGCUGAGACACGGUCCAGACUCCUACGGGAGGCAGCAGUGAGGAAUAUUGGUCAAUGGGCGUAAGCCUGAACCAGCCAAGUAGCGGGCAGGAGGACGGCCCUAUGGGUUGUAAGCUGCUUUUAUGCGGGGAUAAAGUGGCCCACGUGUGGGUUUUUGCAGGUACCGCAUGAAUAAGGACCGGCUAAUUCCGUG
Molecule: ribosomal RNA, 490 nt
Filed under: uncultured bacterium
Lineage: Bacteria
Description: partial 16S ribosomal RNA
Rfam family: Bacterial small subunit ribosomal RNA
Source: RNAcentral